Molecule: transfer RNA, 72 nt
Filed under: Propionibacteriaceae bacterium
Lineage: Bacteria; Bacillati; Actinomycetota; Actinomycetes; Propionibacteriales; Propionibacteriaceae
Description: tRNA-Thr
Rfam family: tRNA
About the family: Transfer RNA (tRNA) molecules are approximately 80 nucleotides in length.
Source: RNAcentral
GCCUCUGUAGCUCAGCGGUAGAGCAUCCGCCUUGUAAGCGGAAGGUCAUGGGUUCGACACCCAUCGGAGGCU